CAGUCGGGUAAUCGCGCUUAUACUUGAUAUAAGUGAGGAAAGUCCGUGCAUUCAAGAACGGGGCACCGGAGAAACUCCGGACGGCGUGAGCCGGUGGACAGUGCCACAGAAAUGUAGACUGCCGAUGGAACUUAGGUUCACAGGCGAUGGUGCAACGGUGAGUUAAGAGCUUCACCGAUGAUAUUGAGAAAUAUCAGUCAGGUAAACCCUGCCCGAAUGCAAGAUUAAAUCGAAGGUUACAAAGGCUGUUCGCCCACUUCGGACAAAUCGCUUGCGGUUGUGAGUAAUCAUAACCCCAGACAGAUGAUUACCUUGGAACAGAACACGGCUUAUGAGCUGCUUUA
RNAcentral lists this RNase P RNA (344 nucleotides) under bovine gut metagenome. RNAcentral describes it as "Bacterial RNase P class A". It matches the Rfam family "Bacterial RNase P class A". From Rfam's summary of the family: Ribonuclease P (RNase P) is a ubiquitous endoribonuclease, found in archaea, bacteria and eukarya as well as chloroplasts and mitochondria. The record is from RNAcentral.